RNAcentral lists this ribosomal RNA (468 nucleotides) under uncultured bacterium. RNAcentral's name for it is "partial 16S ribosomal RNA". It matches the Rfam family "Bacterial small subunit ribosomal RNA", at positions 28 to 507 of the family's 1533-position model. The record is from RNAcentral.
GACGAACGCUGGCGGCGUGCUUAACACAUGCAAGUCGAACGGAAAGGCCCUGCUUUUGUGGGGUGCUCGAGUGGCGAACGGGUGAGUAACACGUGUGUAACCUGCCCUUGACUUUGGGAUAACUUCAGGAAACUGGGGCUAAUACCGGAUAGGAGCUCCUGCUGCAUGGUGGGGGUUGGAAAGUUUCGGCGGUUGGGGAUGGACUCGCGGCUUAUCAGCUUGUUGGUGGGGUAGUGGCUUACCAAGGCUUUGACGGGUAGCCGGCCUGAGAGGGUGACCGGCCAAAUUGGGACUGAGAUACGGCCCAGACUCCUACGGGAGGCAGCAGUGGGGAAUAUUGCACAAUGGGCGGAAGCCUGAUGCAGCAACGCCGCGUGCGGGAUGACGGCCUUCGGGUUGUAAACCGCUUUCGCCUGUGACGAAGCGUGAGUGACGGUAAUGGGUAAAGAGGCACCGGCUAACUACGUG